GGAGAAUUAGCUCAGUUGGUAGAGCACUUGCUUAGCAUGUGAGAGGUAGCAGGAUGGACCACUGCAUUCUCCA
RNAcentral lists this transfer RNA (73 nucleotides) under Loxodonta africana (African savanna elephant). It matches the Rfam family "tRNA". Rfam says of the family: Transfer RNA (tRNA) molecules are approximately 80 nucleotides in length. Their secondary structure includes four short double-helical elements and three loops (D, anti-codon, and T loops). Lineage: Eukaryota; Metazoa; Chordata; Mammalia; Proboscidea; Elephantidae. The record is from Rfam by way of RNAcentral.